ACCGCACAGGGUCAAAGCCUCCACGUGGCGUGCGGUGGGCAACGGACAACUCGCUCGUCCGGCUGAUUUGACCAU
Anaerotruncus sp. CAG:390 is the source of this 75-nucleotide non-coding RNA. It matches the Rfam family "HDV ribozyme from F. prausnitzii". The record is from Rfam. Lineage: Bacteria; Bacillati; Bacillota; Clostridia; Eubacteriales; Oscillospiraceae.